Molecule: ribosomal RNA, 443 nt
Filed under: uncultured bacterium
Lineage: Bacteria
Description: partial 16S ribosomal RNA
Rfam family: Bacterial small subunit ribosomal RNA
Source: RNAcentral
CCUACGGGUGGCUGCAGUGGGGAAUAUUGGGCAAUGGGCGCAAGCCUGACCCAGCAACGCCGCGUGAAGGAAGAAGGCCCUCGGGUUGUAAACUUCUUUUAACAGGGACGAAGAAAGUGACGGUACCUGUUGAAUAAGCCACGGCUAACUACGUGCCAGCAGCCGCGGUAAUACGUAGGUGGCAAGCGUUAUCCGGAUUUACUGGGGGUAAAGGGCGUGUAGGCGGGAGAGCAAGUCAGACGUGAAAUUCCAGGGCUCAACCCUGGAACUGCGUUUGAAACUGUUCUUCUUGAGUGAUGGAGAGGCAGGCGGAAUUCCAGGUGUAGGAGUGAAAUCCGUAGAUAUCUGGAGGAACAUCAGUGGCGAAGGCGACUAUCUGGCACAUAACUGACGCUGAGGAGCGAAAGCGUGGGUAGCAAACAGGAUUAGAUACCCGAGUAGUC